Molecule: ribosomal RNA, 623 nt
Filed under: Steinernema sp. eKK11.3_TH
Lineage: Eukaryota; Metazoa; Nematoda; Chromadorea; Rhabditida; Steinernematidae
Also listed under: 17 other names
Description: eukaryotic LSU rRNA
Rfam family: Eukaryotic large subunit ribosomal RNA
Source: RNAcentral
AUUCUCUUUGACUAGGGAUCCAAAGAGGGUGCUAGACCCUUACGCAUUGUUGACUUUUCGUACGCGUUCGUUUCUUGGAGUAGGGUUGUUUUGGAUCGCAGCCCAAAGUAGGUGGUAUACUUCAUCUAAAGCUAAAUACGACUACGAAUCCGAUAGCAAACAAGUACCGUGAGGGAAAGUUGCAAAGUACUUUGAAGAGAGAGUUCAAGAGGACGUGAAACCGGUAGGGUGGAAGCAGAUAAAGUUGACGAACGUGUGUCGUAUUCAGAACUACAAUUUGUGGUUUGUUUUUACGAUCGAUGUGGGCUGGCGUCUUUGGUUAACUUAGUGUCUGGCGGCAAUGGUGACCCUGCGGAGGGAUAAUCGGUUGUCGUGCGAUGCUUGGUAUGGCUAGAGGUUCGCUGGUCUUAUAGUCAUCGCUUUAUCUGACCCGUCUUGAAACACGGACCAAGGAGUGUAGCGCUUACGCGAGUCUUAGAGUGUGUCAAAACUUUGAGGCGUAACGAAAGUAAAUGUGGAUUUAUUCACUGACUUGGGAUGCGUUGUCUUUUUUGGAUAGCGUUGGACCAUGGUUUUAUCGUAAUCGCUUGCGAUGCGGUGAAAAUAGAGCGUAAGCGGUGCGA